This 604-nucleotide long non-coding RNA is filed under the name Capra hircus (goat). RNAcentral describes it as "lncRNA (ENSCHIG00000003782.1)". Lineage: Eukaryota; Metazoa; Chordata; Mammalia; Artiodactyla; Bovidae. The record is from RNAcentral.
CUUCAUAUGAUUCAUUAACUAGUCAGAAAGAUAAGAGUACAAUCCCUGAUCAAAAGUCAAGGGGCAGGAUACACUGAGCUCAGAAAUUAUAACUCAUGGUCUGUGUCAGGGUACUCCAGCUACAGGCUCCAGAUGUUCCAGGGGCGUACACGAAGUGAGGUUCAAUCUGCCCAAACCAAGGUGGAAUAAGUAACUUGCAACAGUGAAGAGAAGAAGGAAGGGAAGAGCAGGAAGGGGAGGAGAGAAAAGAGAAACAUGGAAACACAUGAUGGACCAAUAUCAAGGCCAGGCCUUGGCAAGAUGACUGGUGGGUCAGAUGAGUCAUUGUUUGGCAAUCUAAGAAUUGUCAGUUGUACUUUCGUCUUUCAUAUUUUUCUGUCAAGAGGCAGCAUUUAACAGAACUGUAUAUUUUCUGCCACAUAGUGACAACAAGGAUGGUGACUGACGAGAGUUAAAUCUCUAUGGACUAUUCAUGUUAGUUAAAAUUUCAUCAGCAUCUUGGAACAUCUCCUGUCCAACAUGUCUCAGGGGAAAGAUAAGAAAUAUUAUUUUACUUCUGUUUGAUUUUAUAAGAUUAAGUCUGUUGCCCUUGGUCCGUGAUCAC